GUUUAUCAGAGGGAUGGGACGAGAGGGUGAGGUGUGACUUCCCAGAGCAGCGAGCUUCAGUGUCUGACUACAUGGGGCAAGGAAAGACACCAGUGGACAAAAGGUGCUGUGCUGGAGAGAGCAUGUGGAGAGACACCACAGAGAGUGAUGUCCAAGGAUCCUCUGCUGUUCUAGCCUCCAGAUGUUUGGUACCAAAUGGAGAGUGAGUGAGGCUUCCAACCCCACCUUUGAGCCACCCCAGCUGAUCCCAGUAGAGCAGAGAUGAGCUGUCCCCACCAAGUCUUGCCCAGAUUGCAGAUCUGUGAACAAAUAAGAAUUUUUGCUUGAAGCCUCUAUGUUUUGGGGUACUUGGUCACGUAGCCCUAGGGCUAACUGAAGUAUAGUGAGAAGUGACAAGAUUCAAGGUUGUAUAGCUGCUUAGGGGAAGAACAAAGAAAGUACACUCUCCUUGCAUUCAAAGGAUAUUUCUUCAAUUUGCUUGCAGUGUGACCUUUGGCAAGCUACUGAACCUCUCUGUGCCUCAGUUUUCUCAUCUGUAUGAUAGGGAUGAAGAUGGUAUUUCUUCAGAAGGUAGUGAUGAGGAAUAAAUAUCUCAUUCUUGGCAUGUAGGAAAAAGCUAGUAAGUAGCUGGGUUGGGGUUUCAAUUCAGGCAGUCUAACCCUAGACUCUUUACUGGUAAGCUCAGGUCCAGAACAUUCCCACCAAUCCCUGAAAAGGAGGCCAGACGGCAAUAUCCCAGGUACUCCCAUUAUUUUCCCCCAUACGGCAUGAUUCUGAGUCCUCCUUGGCCGCCCUUCUCUGUUCACUGGGCCUUGAUACAUGAUUCUCUGAACUGAAGGCCGCACCAUCACUCCUCUCUGUUUAGUGCAGCCCGAGAUUACACUGGCUUUUUUGGCAGUCACAUCACAUUGUUGACUCAUUCUGAGCUGGCAGUCAAAAUCCUAAGUGUUUUUAUCACAUGUGCUAGCAUCAAGCUGCAUUCCUUCCCAUCUAGGAUUGGUGCAAUUGGAGUUUUAAAAAAUCCAACUGCAGAAUUGUUUAGUUUAUUAGAUUUUGCUCAUUGUGGUAGUGUGCCUAGGAAAGAAUCCAGAUGAGCUCCUCUCCAGGGUUCUCGGAGACACCCUGUAUCCUUUUAAUAUACCUUUCCUUUAUUUCUGUAGUCCAUUUGAGUGGCUUACUGGUACUCACAACACAAAAAGUAAGCCAUAGAGUGACUUCUGGGUGGUCCUUGCUCAGGAGGAAAAGAGGUGUGGCAGGGAUGCUGUGGUAGAGGGCAGAGAAAGCAAAUGGCAGGAGCGUGUGCCGGGUGCCACGUCUGAGCCGUGGCAGACCUUGCAGCUGAUCAUGACUCUCUUUUCUGCUGAGUCAGGAAAUGGCCUCUACUUUGAUUAGCUGCCACCUGAAUAGGACAGAGUUGAGGACUGAGGACAGAGACUGCUUUCGAAGUGGACCCUGGCAUAAUUAAUCAGGCUUCAAGCACAUCGGUUGUUCGGAUGGUUCCCAAUUCCCCCAAAUGUGCUGCCAUCUUACCCUCAUUUUCUCAGCUUGCCCACAAAGAUAAAAUGAUAUUUUUAUCAAGUCUCAUUUCUUGCUGAACUACAAGUUCUCUAAGUGGCCGCAUCACUUGAUCCUGCUACUCUGGCGAUACUAUGUACAGUGCUUGCUGAAGUGGUCACUCUGGUUGGUGGGUGCCACAGAAGGUGGGUGGCUCAGAGUGGACUGAAGAAAGUACCAGAGUCUGAUGGACCUCAUUU
RNAcentral lists this long non-coding RNA (1754 nucleotides) under Homo sapiens (human). Its description in RNAcentral is "HSALNT0330532". The record is from RNAcentral. Lineage: Eukaryota; Metazoa; Chordata; Mammalia; Primates; Hominidae.